Molecule: ribosomal RNA, 497 nt
Filed under: uncultured bacterium
Lineage: Bacteria
Description: partial 16S ribosomal RNA
Rfam family: Bacterial small subunit ribosomal RNA
Source: RNAcentral
GACGAACGCUGGCGGCGUGCCUAAUACAUGCAAGUCGAGCGCAAAGGCCUGGUACUUGUACCAACUGCAUGAGCAGCGAACGGGUGAGUAACGCGUGGAGAAUCUGCCUGUGAGCGGGGGACAACAUGGGGAAACGAGCGCUAAUACCGCAUAAAAUCUUGAAACACAAGGUUGAAGGGUGAAAGAUGGAAUUGCAUCACGCAAAGAUGAUCUCGCGUCGUAUUAGCUAGGUGGUGAGGUAAAGGCUCACCAAGGGGAAGAUAGAUUGCCCACCUGAGAGGGUGGUUGGCCACCUUGGGACUGGGACACGGCCCAAGCUCCUUCGGGAGGCAGCAGUACGGAAUCUUCGGCAAUGGGCGGAAGUCUGACCGAGCAACGCCGCGUGAGUGGAGAAAGUUUUCGGGUCGUAAAACUCUGUUGGUGGGGAAGAACGUUUGUGGGAGUGGAAAGCUCAUCAAGUGACGGUAACUACUCAGAAAGCGGCGGCUAACUACGUG